Molecule: long non-coding RNA, 1816 nt
Organism: Talpa occidentalis (Iberian mole)
Lineage: Eukaryota; Metazoa; Chordata; Mammalia; Eulipotyphla; Talpidae
Exons: 3
Source: RefSeq, a predicted model, not a curated record
GGGUCAGGCUCACUGAGGGGCCGCUCCUCCCACUUGCUUGGGAUGCUCGUGUGGACAGGGUCACGUGGCACGAUGCCAGCUGCGCUCUGUAUUUAUCAUGAAAUCUGACAUGUGAGAUCUGAACUUACUAAGAUGCAAUGACGGGGGUGACUUGUCACGUUACCAAAGGCUUAUUUUCUUUCAGGGAAAAAGUCACAAUUCAAUUCCUCUAGGGAAAAGCCCUACAGGGCUCAAAAGAUCUAUUUCAACAUCACCUAACAGAGACACGGCUGGACCCGAGCAGAGGUCAGUGUACCGGCCAGCUAUCCUGACACAGCGGCCCACAGUGCAUGGUACUCACCAGAUGAGGCAUCAGGAGGUCAGCCAGGUAGACAAAGGCAGCUCCAAGGGUGAAACCAAUGGCCACGGGAAAGAAGGCAAAGGCCCCAAAGCCCCCAGAGGACGUGGCCAUCUCGACCGCUGGAGCCAGGAGAGACCAAUAGGAAGCUGCUAGCAUGACCUAGAAAACCACAAUGAGCAACAGGUCAUUAAACUGCUCCAGGAAGACCUCCCAAAUGGGGUCUGCCACACCAGACCCCACAACUCCUCCCCAGCAAGUAUCAUGCCAAACCAGAAGCCGCCAUAGAGUUCCUGGAACCAACGUUGGAAGAACUCAGUUGGGGCAGGAUGGAGUGGACUUUGGGAUGAUGCCUACUUUGCUGUCGGUCAGACUCUAAUUCAGUAGUUCUCACCAGGGGCAGCUGUUUCCUCCAGGCAGUACCUGGCAGUGCCACGCGAGGGCAGGGAGACGAGGCUGCUAGAAGCGUCUGGUGAGUGGAAUCCAGAGGCCGGGAACCAUUCCAUGAUCACAGACCCUGCCAGCUAAGAAACCUCUGGCCCCAAACGUCAUCAUGCUGCUGAGAAAUGCUGUUCUCACUGAAUGCUUCCAAAACAAGCUGUUCACUGCUUUGUGAGCUCUGCUGCAUUACGAGACAACGCUGAUUAUUGCAGUGCUUGCUGAUGGUGAGCUGAAAUCUGUCUUCCUUCCAUUUUUAUCUGUUACCUCUGGGUCUACUCUCUGAAAGGCCAAAGAUGUUGUCUCUAUUCUGCGCUAUCUGACAGCCUGUGGCAUUUGUGAACACAACCGGUGAGUGACCUAUUAUUCUGAUGAAAUACACAUUGGUUCCAAGAACCCGGCCUGAGCUGCAUGUGCAACAAGCCGUUCGUGCAGACGCGACAGUGUGUGCUGUUCCUGGAGCUUCGGGUCUAUCUGAUAAAAGGAAAGCAGAUGAGGAAACCACAACUUACGAAGUCUAAGGAGGUAGCCCAAGUUCACACAACUAAUAAGCAGAGCAACCAGGAGCACCCCCGAGCCAGAGGACUCCAGGCCUCAUUCUACUCCAUGAGACCGGCCAGGGCGAGGCUGGCUGGAGGAAAGGCUGCACCACUCGGGGCCCAGCACCCCCACCACGCCGCCCUCAGCUCACCCCACGCUGCUGACGGUUUGAGACAUUUCCUGACAUGACUACAUCCUGAGAAGUUCGUCAUAAUUAAAUCGCAGGGAAAUUUUCAAAGUGCUUCAGAGAUGUAAUGAGUUUACAUUCAAUUAGUUUCUUCCUUCACUGGGAGAAUCAGAAAGCCCGAUUUCCUUAGAGAUUCAGAGGGGAGGGUUUCUCACUGCCCGUCUGGAGAUUUCUUUGCGUUUUCAGGGAUGUAAAUCAGCACAUGCCAAAGUUCUGGAAAAACCGGGCUGGGCCGAAAGGCAGCCCUCCCCAACGUAAACCUCUAAUGCACAUGCCACACUAGAAAAAUCUGUCAACAAAUGAAAAUCUCAAGU